AUUGAACGCUGGCGGCAGGCCUAACACAUGCAAGUCGAACGAGCGGCGGACGGGUGAGUAAUGUCUGGGAAACUGCCUGAUGGAGGGGGAUAACUACUGGAAACGGUAGCUAAUACCGCAUACCAUCAGAUGUGCCCAGAUGGGAUUAGCUAGUUGGUGGGGUAAUGGCUCACCUAGGCGAAGACCCCUACCUGGUCUGAGAGGAUGACCAGCAACACUGGAACUGAGACACGGUCCAGACUCCUACGGGAGGCAGCAGUGGGGAAUAUUGCACAAUGGGGGCAAGCCUGAUGCAGCCAUGCCGCGUGUGUGAAGAAGGCCUUCGGGUUGUAAAGCACUUUCAGCGGGGAGGCGUUACCCGCAGAGGAAGCACCGGCUAACGCCGUGCCAGCCGCCGCGGUAAUAC
RNAcentral lists this ribosomal RNA (406 nucleotides) under uncultured bacterium. RNAcentral describes it as "partial 16S ribosomal RNA". It matches the Rfam family "Bacterial small subunit ribosomal RNA", at positions 30 to 526 of the family's 1533-position model. The record is from RNAcentral.